This 131-nucleotide non-coding RNA is filed under the name unclassified sequences. The record is from Rfam.
GAUCCGUAAACGCCACGGCUUUGCGGUCAGACCUAUGCAAAUGUGGUCAGCCAGUUUUGUCCUCCUACGGGAAACACGCUUCAGGAUUCGACAAAACGCAGAGUAGUGAAACAUCGAAAGGCGAGGUCGAU